This 538-nucleotide ribosomal RNA is filed under the name uncultured bacterium. RNAcentral's name for it is "bacterial SSU rRNA". It matches the Rfam family "Bacterial small subunit ribosomal RNA", at positions 369 to 896 of the family's 1533-position model. The record is from RNAcentral.
CAAUGGCCGAAAGGCUGACCCAGCGACGCCGCGUGCGGGAGGACGCCCUUCGGGGUGUAAACCGCUGUCAGAGGGGAAGAAACACCCGGGUGAGAAUACUACCCGGACUUGACGGUACCCUCAAAGGGAAGCGCCGGCUAACUCUGUGCCAGCAGCCGCGGUAAUACAGAGGGCGCGAGCGUUGUUCGGAAUCACUGGGCGUAAAGCGCGCGCAGGCGGGACGACAAGUCUGGAGUGAAAUUCCGGGGCUCAACUCCGGAACUGCUUUGGAAACUGUCGACCUGGGGACCGGUAGAGGCCGGUGGAAUUCCCGGUGUAGCGGUGGAAUGCGUAGAGAUCGGGAAGAACACCCGUGGCGAAGGCGGCCGGCUGGGCCGGAUCCGACGCUGAGGCGCGAAAGCGUGGGGAGCAAACAGGAUUAGAUACCCUGGUAGUCCACGCCGUAAACGAUGGGCACUAGGUGCUGGGGGGAGCGACCCCUUCGGUGCCGCAGCUAACGCGUUAAGUGCCCCGCCUGGGGAGUACGGCCGCAAGGCUG